UGUUCUCUGGUGUGGACGCUAAUAUCGUUAUCUUUAUAGUUAUCUUUAUACUUAUCGUUCUUGGUGUGAACGGGGCUUUAGUACACCCCAAAAGGAAAUUUGCUCUUCCAAGCCUUUCAAUGGGGGUAAGCAGGUCUUUAUUCCAUGUCUUCUGAACUGUUGACAACAAACACCCGCUUACCGCCAUCGAAAGGCUUGGAAGAGCAAGGAUAAUUUUUAAUGUAAGUCUGAUUGGAUUAUUCUGAAAGAAGAAAGACAAAUACACCUAGGAGAUGGAUGAAUUUUCAUUCUCGGUUGAACUAACACUUUAAUGUUCCACAGAAGAAAAAAAAAAAGAAGAACGUUGUACAGGUUUGGAAUGACAUAAGGGGUCUUGUGCCUGGACCACAGUAUGGAGAGGGACAGCCUGGGGGAAGGACAGAGCUGACACCAAGCACUGCUGACUGCAGGAGGAGAGGGGCAGCAGAGCCGGAGGGCUGAGUGUGGAGAGCGUAUACACCCUGACAAGUCAGGCAGAUAGCAACUGAGUCAGACACAUUGCUUGGCAACACCGUAUUGUCUGUGUUAUUCAUUUUAUACAUACUUUUCUGCAAAUAAUUCAGGAAUGUGUUUGUUUUUACAGACCUUUGAAAUGUAGAAUAUUAAUUAAAAUAAGAACAUCC
This is a long non-coding RNA of Carassius gibelio (silver crucian carp), 662 nucleotides long. RefSeq lists it as uncharacterized. The transcript is spliced from 2 exons. The record is from RefSeq and is a predicted model, not a curated record. Lineage: Eukaryota; Metazoa; Chordata; Actinopteri; Cypriniformes; Cyprinidae.